AGAAUUCUUUACAUGCAAACUUUAGCACUGUUACAUGGUUGGGGGAUUUAUGAAAAAAUGAGCUGUAUUUUUCAAUAAGUAGGCUCCAAGCUGGGCUUUCCUCCCCAGCGCUAUUCCAAUAUGGGGCUUGAACUCACGAACCUGAGAUCAAGAUCUGAACUGAGAUCAAAACUUGGACACUUAACCAACUAAGCCACCCAGGUACCCUGGAAUUGUACACUUUCAACAAGUGAAUCGUAUGGUAUAUGACAACUCAAGAGAGCUAUUAAAAAAAAAGGGUGGUCCCACCAACCUCCAUAAAUUGAAUAAAUGAAUAAAUUCUUUGAACA
Molecule: long non-coding RNA, 329 nt
Organism: Canis lupus familiaris (dog)
Lineage: Eukaryota; Metazoa; Chordata; Mammalia; Carnivora; Canidae
Exons: 2
Source: RefSeq, a predicted model, not a curated record